UACGUAGGGGGCAAGCGUUGUCCGGAUUUAUUGGGCGUAAAGAGCGUGUAGGCGGUUAGGUAGGUCCGUUGUGAAAACUCGAGGCUCAACCUCGAGACGCCGAUGGAAACCCCCUAACUAGAGUCCGGAAGAGGAGAGUGGAAUUCCCGGUGUAGCGGUGAAAUGCGUAGAGAUCGGGAAGAACAUCGGUGGCGAAAGCGCUCUGCUGGACUGCAACUGACACUCAGGGACGAAAGCUAGGGGAGCGAAUGGG
RNAcentral lists this ribosomal RNA (253 nucleotides) under uncultured bacterium. RNAcentral describes it as "partial 16S ribosomal RNA". It matches the Rfam family "Bacterial small subunit ribosomal RNA", at positions 524 to 776 of the family's 1533-position model. The record is from RNAcentral.